Molecule: RNA transcript, 2047 nt
Organism: Benincasa hispida (wax gourd)
Lineage: Eukaryota; Viridiplantae; Streptophyta; Magnoliopsida; Cucurbitales; Cucurbitaceae
Gene name: structural maintenance of chromosomes domain protein
Source: RefSeq, a predicted model, not a curated record
ACGAAGUUGGUUUCUUCGUGUCCAAACAGGCGGUAAAACAAACAAAAGGAAAAAGGGCGGAAAGAGAAGAAACUCUGCUAGGGUUUCUAUUUUCAAGUCAUUCGAACUCACGGGAGGAUAAUCCCUAAUUCUCAUUCAUCCGUGUUCGUUCGUAUACCUUCCUACUUAUCCAUUUUCCAUCAGAUUCCUCCUCUACCGGAAGUUUCGUAUUCGACAUGGCUGGGCUGAUCGAAAGCUUAACUUACCGAAUUCUUCGUGGGUGUUUGACAUUCCGAUUGCUUCGGAUGGAGUGGCUUUCCUGGCAGUAGACAGAAAGCUGGCUUCUUGAUGUUUAUGUUAGUCAUACUACAAACAAACUUAGAACCGGGGAAGAAAUAGAAAUAUUAUGUCUGGAAGAAAUCGGGGACCGCCCAUCCCACUAAAUGCUGUGCCUCACGGUGGAUUACAACCAGUUCGUGAACCUCCUUUUGCCAGAGGUCUUGGGCCAUUGCCACAUCCAGUGCUUCUUGAGGAAAUCAGGGAAUCACAGUAUGGGAUGCAUCCAGGGUCCCUUCCUCCACACCCUGUAAUAAUCGAGGAGCGUCUUGCUGCCCAACAUCAAGAUAUUCAAGGUCUUCUUCUUGACAACCAGAGGCUAGCUGCAACCCAUGUUGCGCUUAAGCAGGAACUAGAAGCAGCCCAGCAUGAGUUGCAACGCAUGGCUCAUGUUGCUGAUUCGUUACAUGCAGAAAGGGAUAUUCAGAUGAGAGAAUUGUAUGAAAAAUCGGUAAGACUAGAGGUUGAUCUGCGAGGUGUUGAGACUAUGCGAGCAGAGCUUCUACAAGUUCAUUCUGAUGUCAAGGAAUUAACUACUGCAAGGCAGGAGCUCACUGGGCAAGUACAAGCAAUGACACAAGAUUUAACUAGAAUUACUGCAGAUUUGCAGCAGGUCCCUGCUUUGAGGGCAGAAAUUGAAACUGUGAAGCAGGAAUUACAUCGUGCAAGAGUUGCAAUCGAGUAUGAAAAGAAGGGAUAUGCAGAGAAUUAUGAACACGGUCAGGUCAUGGAGAAGAAACUGGUUUCAAUGGCUCGGGAAUUGGAGAAACUUAGAGCUGAGGUUGCUAAUGCAGAGAAGAGAGCUCAUGCUUCUGCUGCCGUUGGUGGAAAUACUGCUGCUGGUUAUGGUGCAAAUUAUGGCAAUGCUGAUGCUGGAUACGCGGGAAAUCCAUAUUCUACCAAUUAUGGCUUGAACUCCGUGCAGUCUGGUACAGACGGUUAUCCUCCGUAUGGACCUGGAUCUGUUCCCUGGGGUGCAUAUGACAUGCAACGGGCUCAAGGACAUAGAUAGACUGAUGCAUUAUGUCCUGCUAAGAUGUUUCUUGCAGAGGGAUUGAGGUUCAAAUCACAAAGCAUUGAUAAUUAGGUUUGUGGGCCUCCAUGAUCUGCUUCAUUUAUGGCUGUGAACUGAUUUCAGAUUGUACUGAGUCUGAGGUUUCCAUAUGUUAAAGGCAGUUGAAGCUGAACUCCCAAAUCUCUUCAAUCUGAAAUCACUGCAGCUCGUGGCUUGUACAAUCAACAAUUUGUUCCUUCUAAGCUCAGGAAGCAGUCUUUCCUGGCAUAAAUUUUACAACUAGCAAUACGUCAUUAUGUGCUGGUUGGUGUGCACCCUUUGCUCCGGUUUGAGAAAAAUGAACGGCCUAUUCAAAGUUGACCUACGGUUCUUGAACAUCCACAGGAAACAGGCAUAUGGAAUAAGGCUUCAACCGUGUCGGUUGUUCGACAAAACUGAUUUGGCAGAGUUUAAAUUCAACCAAACCCCCUUGCUGUUCCAAUUAUGGAAUGGGUAGGCUUGAAGUUGAUUGUUGAAAGUUGAGGUAAAUCAGCCCUACAUCACGCAAAUAUCAGUGUAUGUCAAUUCACAAUUGGUAUUUUUUGUUUGUUUUUUUUUACAUAUUCUACUCUGAAUGAUUCUUUGAACCUGUGACUGUAUGAAAUAAGAUUUAUGGUCAUAUGCAAGGCUCUAUCACCUUUUUUUAGAAUCUAAAUAAAAUAGCAGGUUAAAUUCCUA